UGGGAGGAAAAGAAACCAACAGGGAUUGCCUUAGUAGCGGCGAGUGAAGCGGCAAAAGCUCAAAUUUGAAAUCUGGCUCUUUCAGAGUCCGAGUUGUAAUUUGAAGAAGGUAUCUUUGGGUCUGGCUCUUGUCUAUGUUUCUUGGAACAGAACGUCACAGAGGGUGAGAAUCCCGUGCGAUGAGAUGAUCCAGGCCUAUGUAAAGUUCCUUCGAAGAGUCGAGUUGUUUGGGAAUGCAGCUCUAAGUGGGUGGUAAAUUCCAUCUAAAGCUAAAUAUUGGCGAGAGACCGAUAGCGAACAAGUACAGUGAUGGAAAGAUGAAAAGAACUUUGAAAAGAGAGUGAAAAAGUACGUGAAAUUGUUGAAAGGGAAGGGCUUGAGAUCAGACUUGGUAUUUUGUAUGUUACUUCUUCGGGGGUGGCCUCUACAGUUUAUCGGGCCAGCAUCAGUUUGGGCGGUAGGAGAAUUGCGUUGGAAUGUGGCACGGCUUCGGUUGUGUGUUAUAGCCUUCGUCGAUACUGCCAGCCUAGACUGAGGACUGCGGUUUAUACCUAGGAUGUUGGCAUAAUGAUCUUAAGUCGCCCGUCUA
Molecule: ribosomal RNA, 589 nt
Filed under: Candida tropicalis
Lineage: Eukaryota; Fungi; Ascomycota; Pichiomycetes; Serinales; Debaryomycetaceae
Description: partial large subunit ribosomal RNA
Rfam family: Eukaryotic large subunit ribosomal RNA
Source: RNAcentral